RNAcentral lists this long non-coding RNA (237 nucleotides) under Trifolium pratense (red clover). RNAcentral describes it as "long non-coding RNA (TPRA_LNC003055)". The record is from RNAcentral. Lineage: Eukaryota; Viridiplantae; Streptophyta; Magnoliopsida; Fabales; Fabaceae.
AAAUUAGACAUGCCUGUUUUUCUUCUCUUACAACUGUCAGCAUUAUUAUCUGAGCAUUUGCCGGCCUCUUUUGACGCAGUGUAUGUCAAACGAAUGCGUAAAGAACCCACACUUGAUUUACAUUCCUGAAAAGGGGUUAUUUGUGUAGAUGGUUAUUUGAAAAGAAUCCUACAUUUCUAAUUGAUGUUUGUGUAUAAAACUUCAGAGUCCUGGUGGUGCUAUUGCUCUUUUGGAUGA